This is a transfer RNA of Ipomoea nil (Japanese morning glory), 94 nucleotides long. It matches the Rfam family "tRNA". Rfam says of the family: Transfer RNA (tRNA) molecules are approximately 80 nucleotides in length. Their secondary structure includes four short double-helical elements and three loops (D, anti-codon, and T loops). The record is from Rfam. Lineage: Eukaryota; Viridiplantae; Streptophyta; Magnoliopsida; Solanales; Convolvulaceae.
CUGACCUUAGCUCAGUGGGUAGAGUGGUGGACUGUAGUUGGACUAAUCUAAAUUGUAAAUCCUUAGGUCGCUGGUUUGAUUCCGGCAGGUUGGA